GUAUCACCCAGACUUACCACAGUAUAGAAUAUUUCCGUCUCUCCAGAAAGUUUCCUCCUGUUUUUUCCCAGGAAAUCCACUAAUGCCCCAGAUGGGACCACUUUAUUUAUUUAUUUUUUCAUUUUAUAUUGGUUCUGUACAACUUCAUAGGACUGAAAUUGCAAAAAGCGUACUCUUUUGUGCCUGGCCUUCUUUAAAUCAGAAAACUGUGAGAUUCAUCCAGCAGCGUUCGGAAGCCAGCUCAGUUGAGGUGGAGAGCCAGUGGUAUUCGUCUCUUCCCAACUCUGCAUUCACUGACUUCCAGUUGGUAGCUGUCAUGGGCUCUGGGGGGAAUAUUUACCUCGUGGAAAUUGGUCAGUAAUGCAUACCACGGUUUUCCCUACCCUGAAGAUCCAGUCGUCAACAAGUCACUGGAUUCAUUCCUGUGGUUGGGUGAAUUGGUAGUGCAAUCCUUCAUAUUGCUGGAAAGUAUUUCUUUGCAUACACUACAAAUUGUUCUUCAAUGUGUUGUGUAGAAACACUACAAAUUAUGUUAUUACACUUGUAUUAUUUCAAGUUUGGGGCAAUUAUAAAUAAAGUGGUUUUGAGUGUUCUUGUGUCAGUCUUUCUGUAAACAUAUGCCUUUAUUUGCUUUGGAUAAAUAUUUACAAGUGAAUUAUGUAUGUGUUUUAUAUGAAAACUAAAUGUUCUAUUACAUCAGCAUCUGUUUUAAAUGAUUUUUAUAUUAAUUAACUUUUUUUGCUCCCUACAUUGACAGAUUUAGGAAGGGUAGCAGAUACACAUUCAAAGAAGAAUGUGGGCCAUCACCAGAGUGUUAAGGAACUUUAAAUUCGCUACUGUGCCAUGUUCUUCAGAUUACAGCAGGAAAGGUUAUACAUUUUCAUAAAAGGUUUUCAUUUAUUUAUAUUAAACAUUUAAAAAAUUAUAAACAUGCAUAUAAAGCCAAAACAAAAUACAAAACAAACAAAAAGUUACAACUCAAUAAAUUAUUAUUAAGUGAUUAUCUGUAUAACCCACUCAGGUCAAGAAAUCGAAUAUUGACAGAUUUUCAAAGAUCCCCUUCAUCUCCUAUCCCAUUAUUAUCUUUUACAUUCUUCUUGAUAGAGAUUACCACAAUUUUGACUUUGUAGUGGCCUCUCUUCACUUUCUUUUAGAGUAUUAUAGCCCACAGGUAUAAUUUUAAA
This 1184-nucleotide long non-coding RNA is filed under the name Marmota monax (woodchuck). Lineage: Eukaryota; Metazoa; Chordata; Mammalia; Rodentia; Sciuridae. The record is from RNAcentral.